GAUGAACGCUGGCGGCGUGCCUAAUACAUGCAAGUAGAACGCUGAAGGAGGAGCUUGCUCUUCUGGAUGAGUUGCGAACGGGUGAGUAACGCGUAGGUAACCUGCCUGGUAGCGGGGGAUAACUAUUGGAAACGAUAGCUAAUACCGCAUGACAACAGUUAUUGCAUGAUAACUGUUUAAAAGGGGCAACUGCUCCACUACCAGAUGGACCUGCGUUGUAUUAGCUAGUUGGUGAGGUAACGGCUCACCAAGGCGACGAUACAUAGCCGACCUGAGAGGGUGAUCGGCCACACUGGGACUGAGACACGGCCCAGACUCCUACGGGAGGCAGCAGUAGGGAAUCUUCGGCAAUGGACGGAAGUCUGACCGAGCAACGCCGCGUGAGUGAAGAAGGUUUUCGGAUCGUAAAGCUCUGUUGUAAGAGAAGAACGAGUGUGAGAGUGGAAAGUUCACACUGUGACGGUAUCUUAUCAGAAAGGGACGGCUAACUACGU
This 494-nucleotide ribosomal RNA is filed under the name uncultured bacterium. RNAcentral describes it as "partial 16S ribosomal RNA". It matches the Rfam family "Bacterial small subunit ribosomal RNA", at positions 28 to 506 of the family's 1533-position model. The record is from RNAcentral.